Long non-coding RNA from Panicum virgatum (switchgrass), 277 nucleotides. RefSeq lists it as uncharacterized. The transcript is spliced from 2 exons. The record is from RefSeq and is a predicted model, not a curated record. Lineage: Eukaryota; Viridiplantae; Streptophyta; Magnoliopsida; Poales; Poaceae.
GGUCUGCUCAGAUUAUUUAUGCUUGUUUGGUGUUGGCUGACGGCUAGCUCACUUUUGAUCUACUCAUCUCUAUUACCGUGAUUCUGAUUUUUUUGAGUUUUGCUGUGUAGGUGCAGUGGAGCACUGGAGCUGAAUCGUGGAGUUGCAACUCUGAAUCAUGGACUGCAUCAAGGGCUCUCAGUCAGCAACAAGCGGCAAUCUGAUAGGCCAUGAGGGGCUCAAGAAAUAUUUUGCUCUCAGUCAGCAACAAGCAGCAAUCCAGCAAGGCAUCAAGGGC